Molecule: small nuclear RNA, 164 nt
Organism: Carassius carassius (crucian carp)
Lineage: Eukaryota; Metazoa; Chordata; Actinopteri; Cypriniformes; Cyprinidae
Product: U1 spliceosomal RNA
Exons: 1
Source: RefSeq, a predicted model, not a curated record
UACCUGGCCUGGCAGGGGAGACACCAUGAUCAAGAAGGCGGUUCACCCAGGGCGAGGCUUGACCAUUCCACUCUGGCCAUGCUGCCCCCUGUGAAUUCCCCAAAUGUGGGAAUCUCGACUGCAUAAUUUAUGGUAAUUUAUAGUAUGGUCAUGAUAAAUGUGUU